GUGGGGAAUUUUGGACAAUGGGCGCAAGCCUGAUCCAGCAAUGCCGCGUGCAGGAAGAAGGCCUUCGGGUUGUAAACUGCUUUUGUACGGAACGAAACGGUCCGGGUUAAUACCCUGGGCUAAUGACGGUACCGUAAGAAUAAGCACCGGCUAACUACGUGCCAGCAGCCGCGGUAAUACGUAGGGUGCAAGCGUUAAUCGGAAUUACUGGGCGUAAAGCGUGCGCAGGCGGUUUUGUAAGACAGGCGUGAAAUCCCCGGGCUCAACCUGGGAAUUGCGCUUGUGACUGCAAGGCUGGAGUGCGGCAGAGGGGGAUGGAAUUCCGCGUGUAGCAGUGAAAUGCGUAGAUAUGCGGAGGAACACCGAUGGCGAAGGCAAUCCCCUGGGCCUGCACUGACGCUCAUGUACGAAAGCGUGGGGAGCAAACAGGAUUAGAUACCCGUGUAGUCC
Molecule: ribosomal RNA, 450 nt
Filed under: uncultured bacterium
Lineage: Bacteria
Description: partial 16S ribosomal RNA
Rfam family: Bacterial small subunit ribosomal RNA
Source: RNAcentral